AAGACUGUACUUUCAGGAAUCAUUUCUCUAGUUUGUUACCGGAGGAGUUUCUCUGAAUGUAUGACACACUAGAAACCAUGAGGAGGAGGAGGCAGAGUUCUUCUCUCCUGAGUGUGAAGCUGGUUCUUGGUGUUGCUACUGCAGCUGCCAUUUUCAUUGGUGUUUGGUCUUGUCCUGCUUUGGGAGAACAAUCCGGAGAGGACAUGAUCUGAGU
Molecule: small nucleolar RNA, 214 nt
Organism: Phyllostomus hastatus (greater spear-nosed bat)
Lineage: Eukaryota; Metazoa; Chordata; Mammalia; Chiroptera; Phyllostomidae
Product: small nucleolar RNA U3
Exons: 1
Source: RefSeq, a predicted model, not a curated record